UACGGAAUGUGCAAACGUUAUUCGGAAUCACUGGGCUUAAAGAGUCUGUAGGCGGUUUGUUAGGUGAGGUGUGAAAUCCCUCGGCCCAACCGAGGAAUUGCGCUUCAAACCGGCGAGCUAGAGGAGGAUAGAGGUGGGCGGAACUGAUGGUGGAGCGGUGAAAUGCGUUGAUAUCAUCAGGAACACCGGAGGCGAAAGCGGUCCACUGGGUCCUUUCUGACGCUGAUGGACGAAAGCUAGGGGAGCGAACGGG
Molecule: ribosomal RNA, 253 nt
Filed under: uncultured bacterium
Lineage: Bacteria
Description: partial 16S ribosomal RNA
Rfam family: Bacterial small subunit ribosomal RNA
Source: RNAcentral